GCUUACGGCCACACCGCCUGGUAUACGCUUGAUCUCGGAAGAUAAGGUAGGUUGGGCCUGGUUAGUACUUGGAUGGAAGACCGCCUGGGAAUACCAGGUGCUGUAAGCU
Scophthalmus maximus (turbot) is the source of this 109-nucleotide ribosomal RNA. The record is from Ensembl. Lineage: Eukaryota; Metazoa; Chordata; Actinopteri; Pleuronectiformes; Scophthalmidae.